AUACGUAGGGGGCGAGCGUUGUCCGGAAUGAUUGGGCGUAAAGGGCGCGUAGGCGGCCCGGUAAGUCUGGAGUGAAAGUCCUGUUUUUAAGAUGGGAAUUGCUUUGGAUACUGUCGGGCUUGAGUGCAGGAGAGGUAAGUGGAAUUCCCAGUGUAGCGGUGAAAUGCGUAGAGAUUGGGAGGAACACCAGUGGCGAAGGCGACUUACUGGACUGUAACUGACGCUGAGGCGCGAAGGUGUGGGGAGCAAACAGGAUUAGAUACCCUGGUAGUCCACACUGUAAACGAUGAAUGCUAGGUGUAGGGGGUAUCGACCCCUUCUGUGCCGCAGUCAACACAAUAAGCAUUCCGCCUGGGGAGUACGGCCGCAAGGUUGAAACUCAAAUGAAUUGACGGGG
RNAcentral lists this ribosomal RNA (397 nucleotides) under uncultured bacterium. RNAcentral's name for it is "partial 16S ribosomal RNA". It matches the Rfam family "Bacterial small subunit ribosomal RNA", at positions 523 to 918 of the family's 1533-position model. The record is from RNAcentral.